Long non-coding RNA from Trifolium pratense (red clover), 1782 nucleotides. RefSeq lists it as uncharacterized. NCBI's taxonomy places the organism in Eukaryota, Viridiplantae, Streptophyta, Magnoliopsida, Fabales, Fabaceae. The record is from RefSeq and is a predicted model, not a curated record. The transcript is spliced from 5 exons.
UGCCAACGAUGUUUUCGCAACACCUGAUAAGUGUCCCCUAAAAUAUCUCUGGGGACGAUUUUAUAGCGUCACGUCUUAUGGUUUUGGCAAUAUGUGAUAAGCGUCCCUUUAAACACUCCUGGGUACACUUUUGAAGUGUUGCUAUAUUUCUAGCGAAAUAUUAUAUUUUUAAAUAAACCAGAAAAAGGACAAAAAACGGAAUCAACCUUACAUACUAUCGUGAAAACACGAAAUUUCCCUUUUCCUCCUUACAUCUUCUCAGCCAUUCACCACCUCUUUCAAUCGCAAAUCACCAGUUCUAUUCUAUAGGUUUCUCUGCUUCAACUUGUGAAUCACGAUUCAGCUUCAUCUUCAUCUUCAUCGGGUGAGUCACUACUUUCUUUCUAUGAGUUUAGUCUUUGAACAGUCAAACCCUACUCCCAAAUAUCUAAUCUGACAUUCGGCUUCCAAUUGCAAUAGAAUCAGACCAUGACGAACCCUAAUCUCACGAUUCAACUUCCAAUAGCAGUAGAACCAACCCAUGACGAACCCUAAUUUCAUGAUUAAACUUCCAAUAAUAGUAGAUCGAGACCAUGACGAACCCUAAUUCUCACGAUUCAGCUUCCAAUCGUAGAAAAUGUGACUAUGACGAACCCUAAUAUAGUGUUUCAGCUUCAUAUUUCGCAGAUGCAUUAAAAAAAAAAAAACUUCAUAUCGCAGACUCAUGUUAUUCUCUCAAUUCCGGCUCUCUCAGCUUUCUUCUGCUUAUGAAUAUUUGUCAUGAUUAUUAUCAUCGAAGUUGGAUAAGGCUAAUUCACCAACACUGUUGCUUUCACUGUUUCUACUACCAUUAGGCUACAGUUGAGGCGAUUGAGUUGGCACACAUAGAUUGGGACAACCUCAAGUUUGAUUUUCAACCUACUGAUUAUAUUUAUUUCAUGAAAUGUGAUCAAGGUGGAACCUUGUCUAAGGGUGAACUAAAGUAUUUUGGGAACAUUGAAUGGAAUCCUUAUAUAAUUGUACUCAUACUGGAUGAUUUUCAGCUUCAUAUGGCAUGCCGUUUUGCAUCAACAAUUGGAAAAGCCCAAACCCUUUCUCAUUGACAUUGAGAGAAGCUUAGAGAUGAGACCACGAGAGGCGGUGUGGUGAGAACCCUUCAUCGAGACUGAGAUCGUCAUUGAGACUGAGAAUGAUAUCAAGUUGUGAUUUCACGAACGCUUCUGAUUCCCCUACCAUUGUGAACACUUCUCAGCUCCGUCGAGAUUGUGAGCAUCGUCAAGGACUCUCCACUGCGGAUUCGAAUUUGCAACAGCCUUGCAACAACGUCACUAAUCGUUCUGCUCUGAUUGCCUUAGAUGAUUUGAGACGACCACGCUUGCAACAACUCAGUUUCGCAUGUGACUCUUCUAUAUUCAUAGGUUCUGCAUUGGAGCAAUACGAUGAAAAGGGAUUACGAUCAAAGAAAUGUUGGAAUUGAUCAAAACUUUGAAAAGUAUGCAAAAGGCAUGUUAUAGGUGGUUCUUCAUAUGAUUAUGCAACCAAGAUAGUGGGGGCAAUGAGAAGAAAUUUACAAUUUACACCAAAAGUGCCCAAUUUUAGUUGUAUUGGUUUUGAGAUAUUGUCUUAAUUUGUAUGUAAGUAGUCAUGGGAGAAGUAACCAUGACUUUAGGUGUUUUAUAGUAAGAGUCCAUGUUGCUACUUUUUAGUACCCAUAGAAAGGAGGUACUAUGUUAUGCAAUUUUGUAAUACUACAUACAUUUGAAUGAAGGAGUUCAUAUAUUUACCUCAUUUUUAUUUGAAAUA